GCCAGGUGUGAUGGCAUGCAUCUGUAGUCCCAGCUACUCAGGAGGCUGAGAUGGGAGGAUUGCUUGAGCCCAGGAGGUUGAGACUGCAGUGAGCCACGAUUGUGCCACUGCACUCCAGCCUGGGCUACAGAGUGAGACCCUGUCUCAA
Molecule: non-coding RNA, 148 nt
Filed under: Chlorocebus sabaeus (green monkey)
Lineage: Eukaryota; Metazoa; Chordata; Mammalia; Primates; Cercopithecidae
Source: Rfam by way of RNAcentral